GGAUGAACGCUAGCUACAGGCUUACCCCAUGCAAGUCGCGGGGCAGCAUGGGGGUUGCUUGCAAUCCCCGAUGGCGACCGGCGCACGGGUGAGUAACGCGUAUCCAACCUGCCCUUCACCACGGGAUAACCCGGCGAAAGUCGGACUAAUACCGUAUGUUGUCCAUUGACGGCAUCCGAUUUGGACGAAAGGUUUGGCGGUGAAGGAUGGGGAUGCGUCCGAUUAGCUGGACGGCGGGGUGACGGCCCACCGUGGCGACGAUCGGUAGGGGUUCUGAGAGGAAGGUCCCCCACACUGGAACUGAGACACGGUCCAGACUCCUACGGGAGGCAGCAGUGAGGAAUAUUGGUCAAUGGGCGUAAGCCUGAACCAGCCAAGUAGCGUGCAGGAUGACGGCCCUAUGGGUUGUAAACUGCUUUUAUGCGGGGAUAAAGUGGCCCACGUGUGGGUUUUUGCAGGUACCGCAUGAAUAAGGACCGGCUAAUUCCGUG
RNAcentral lists this ribosomal RNA (491 nucleotides) under uncultured bacterium. RNAcentral describes it as "partial 16S ribosomal RNA". It matches the Rfam family "Bacterial small subunit ribosomal RNA", at positions 27 to 507 of the family's 1533-position model. The record is from RNAcentral.